UAGUCCACGCCCUAAACGAUGUCAACUAGACGUUGGGUUCAUUAAGGAACUUAGUGUCGAAGCUAACGCGUUAAGUUGACCGCCUGGGGAGUACGGCCGCAAGGCUAAAACUCAAAGGAAUUGACGGGGGCUCACACAAGCGGUGGAGCAUGUUGCUUAAUUCGAGGCAACGCGAAGAACCUUACCUAGGCUUGACAUGUAUGGAUUAACUUUUCGAAAGAUUAGCCACGCCCUUUGGGUGGAACAUACACAGGUGCCGCAUGGCUGUCGUCAGCUCGUGUCGUGAGAUGUUGGGUUAAGUCCCGCAACGAGCGCAACCCUCGCCAUUAGUUGCCAGCAUUUAGUUGGGCACUCUAAUGGGACUGCCGGUGAUGAGCCGGAGGAAGGUGGGGAUGACGUCAAGUCCUCAUGGCCCUUACGGGCUGGGCUACACACGUGCUACAAUGGUGGUGACAGUGGGCAGCGAGACCGCGAGGUCAAGCUAAUCUCCAAAAACCAUCUCAGUUCGGAUUGUUCU
RNAcentral lists this ribosomal RNA (517 nucleotides) under uncultured bacterium. RNAcentral's name for it is "bacterial SSU rRNA". It matches the Rfam family "Bacterial small subunit ribosomal RNA", at positions 791 to 1304 of the family's 1533-position model. The record is from RNAcentral.